GAUGAACGCUAGCGAUAGGCUUAACACAUGCAAGUCGAGGGGCAGCAUGGUCUUAGCUUGCUAAGACUGAUGGCGACCGGCGCACGGGUGCGUAACGCGUAUGCAACUUGCCUCACCGAGGGGGAUAACCCGUCGAAAGACGGACUAAUACCGCGUACACUCCAUCUUGGGCAUCCAAGGUAGAGGAAAUGAAAUUCGCUGUGAGAUAGGCAUGCGUCCCAUUAGCUAGUUGGUGAGGUAACGGCUCACCAAGGCGACGAUGGGUAGGGGAACUGAGAGGUUGAACCCCCACACUGGUACUGAGACACGGACCAGACUCCUACGGGAGGCAGCAGUGAGGAAUAUUGGUCAAUGGGCGAGAGCCUGAACCAGCCAAGUCGCGUGAAGGAUGACUGUCUUAUGGAUUGUAAACUUCUUUUAUACGGGAAUAACAAGAGUCACGUGUGACUCCCUGCAUGUACCGUAUGAAUAAGCAUCGGCUAACUCCGUG
RNAcentral lists this ribosomal RNA (490 nucleotides) under uncultured bacterium. Its description in RNAcentral is "partial 16S ribosomal RNA". It matches the Rfam family "Bacterial small subunit ribosomal RNA", at positions 28 to 507 of the family's 1533-position model. The record is from RNAcentral.